GGGGACGUAGCUCAGCUGGGAGAGCGCGGGCUUUGCAAGCCUGAGGUCGUGGGUUCGAAUCCCAUCGUCUCCA
Molecule: transfer RNA, 73 nt
Filed under: bacterium
Lineage: Bacteria
Also listed under: 1 other name
Description: tRNA-Ala
Rfam family: tRNA
About the family: Transfer RNA (tRNA) molecules are approximately 80 nucleotides in length. Their secondary structure includes four short double-helical elements and three loops (D, anti-codon, and T loops). Further hydrogen bonds mediate the characteristic L-shaped molecular structure. tRNAs have two regions of fundamental functional importance: the anti-codon, which is responsible for specific mRNA codon recognition, and the 3' end, to which the tRNAs corresponding amino acid is attached (by aminoacyl-tRNA synthetases). tRNAs cope with the degeneracy of the genetic code in two manners: having more than one tRNA (with a specific anti-codon) for a particular amino acid; and 'wobble' base-pairing, i.e. permitting non-standard base-pairing at the 3rd anti-codon position.
Source: RNAcentral